RNAcentral lists this ribosomal RNA (446 nucleotides) under uncultured bacterium. Its description in RNAcentral is "partial 16S ribosomal RNA". It matches the Rfam family "Bacterial small subunit ribosomal RNA", at positions 338 to 795 of the family's 1533-position model. The record is from RNAcentral.
CCUACGGGAGGCAGCAGUCGAGAAUCAUUCACAAUGGGGGAAACCCUGAUGGUGCGACGCCGCGUGGGGGAAUGAAGGUCUUCGGAUUGUAAACCCCUGUCAUGUGGGAGCAAAUUAAAAAGAUAGUACCACAAGAGGAAGAGACGGCUAACUCUGUGCCAGCAGCCGCGGUAAUACAGAGGUCUCAAGCGUUGUUCGGAAUCACUGGGCGUAAAGCGUGCGUAGGCUGUUUCGUAAGUCGUGUGUGAAAGGCGCGGGCUCAACCCGCGGACGGCACAUGAUACUGCGAGACUAGAGUAAGGGAGGGGGAACCGGAAUUCUCGGUGUAGCAGUGAAAUGCGUAGAUAUCGAGAGGAACACUCGUGGCGAAGGCGGGUCCCUGGACAUUAACUGACGCUGAGGCACGAAGGCCAGGGGAGCGAAAGGGAUUAGAUACCCUAGUAGUC